Long non-coding RNA from Cyprinus carpio carpio, 1108 nucleotides. The record is from Ensembl. NCBI's taxonomy places the organism in Eukaryota, Metazoa, Chordata, Actinopteri, Cypriniformes, Cyprinidae.
CUGGAGGCGGGCACUCACGCUGUCAAUCGAAUAGCAGGUGUGACCAUUUAGGUGCCUGAUUGAAAUACGAUCUUGGAACAUAACGUCAGCCAAAUUCAUGUUUUAGACCUUGUACUUACUAAUUAUAUAUUAAGAAUGGGUUCAAAUUUUUAAUUUUACUGUCAUACCUAUGUCCGCUGCUGACGUAGGUUAUAUUUUUACAUCCGUAACUUGGGUUAGGAUUAUGAUCAAGGACUAGGUCAAACGGGGUCCUUAUUUGGGUCCUCGAGUUUAGAAAGCAGUGGAGGAGAGGAGCUCCUUAAGGAAGCCAGCAGAGCAAAAGUCCGUGCUGGGACGAUGGGUCCUACUGGAUGGAUUAAAUGUCUCCUGCUGUGACGCGUUUGUCUUCAGAUCAGCUCGCUUCUGAGAGAGAAAAACAUCGAAACACGGACUGUGAAAAGAAGUGCAACCACAAAAGAGUUCAUUCACACGGAAGAUACCGCUCCGAGUCUCAUUCACACACUUCAAAACACCGCUCUUCCUCACGCGGUCACCAUCCGGAGGACACGCCCCCCCACCUCCCCCGGAAGUCAGAAAGUAGUGCGGGACAGGUCUCCAGAGGUCAGAAAAUACACUGACAGUGGGGGGAAUAAUGUAACGGGCUUUGUUUUGACCACACAUUAGAUCUCUACAUGAACACACCUAUGAAUUCCUACAAUUCUGCUAAUUUCCAUUUGCCAUUAAAGGUGCUGAACAAUAAUAUUAAAUAGCAUUUUUUAAAACUAAAAGACGGAAUUCGAUUAUUGGGAGAGACUGUGAAUAUCAUUGUGACUUGAAAGGACGAUUUUCAGAGCUAUUUUAAUACGUCAUUGUGUAUUGCAAGUUUCUCCUCAGGCUUGUUUCUUUUUUUAUUUAUAGAAAUGUAUUGAAAUGUAUUGUUUGUAUAAACACAUACUUUGUGUGUGUGUGUGAAUACAGUCACACACGAAGUAGGAUAUAUGUUUAUAUAUUAUGUGUUUACGUUGUAUAAUUUAUAUUUUUUCAAAAAUGAUAUUUUGUUAAUGAAUAAAUGAUUAUGAUGAUAACGUUUAGAAUGAACGUUUGUGAAAUAAACGCGAGUGUUUGUGGG